GGCGUUAGAUAGGCAUGCAGGCCUAAUUAAACCCUUAUACGGCGAAACUGCGGAAGGCUCAUUAUAUCAGUUAUAGUUUAUUUGAUGGUACCCUACUACAUGGAUAACCGUAGUAAUUCUAAAGCUAAUACAUGCCCAGAAACUCCUUCCCUUCGUGGGAAAGAGGGGACUUAUUACAUUAAAAGCCAAUGGCGGGCUUUUUGGCCGGGUUUGUGGUGAAUCAUAAUAAUUUUGGGAUCGUAUGGCUUCACCCCGGCGAUGGGUCAUUCAAAUUUCUGCCCUAUCAGCUGUGAUGUUGGGGUAUUGGACAAAAGGGGCGAAAACGGGAAACGGAGGAUUAGGGUCUGAUUCCGGAAAGGGAGCCUGAAAAACGGCUACCACUUCUAAGGAAUGCAGCAGGCGCGUAAAUUACCCAAUCCCGACACGGGGAGGUAGAGACAAGAGAUACCAAUAUCGGGCUUUUCAUGUCUGGGAAUUGGAAUGAGAACCAUUUAAACCCAUUACCGAGGAACAAUUGGAGGGCAACUCUGGUCCCCCCCCGCCCCCGCCCCGCCCGGG
RNAcentral lists this ribosomal RNA (558 nucleotides) under uncultured eukaryote. RNAcentral's name for it is "bacterial SSU rRNA". It matches the Rfam family "Eukaryotic small subunit ribosomal RNA", at positions 33 to 578 of the family's 1831-position model. The record is from RNAcentral.